This 240-nucleotide non-coding RNA is filed under the name Lentilactobacillus diolivorans. Its description in RNAcentral is "Lactobacillus diolivorans T-box sequence". It matches the Rfam family "T-box leader". From Rfam's summary of the family: Uncharged tRNA acts as the effector for transcription antitermination of genes in the T-box leader family. Lineage: Bacteria; Bacillati; Bacillota; Bacilli; Lactobacillales; Lactobacillaceae. The record is from RNAcentral.
GAAAACGCUGUGAGAAAGUUGAGUAAUGUUUUACGAUUCUAAAGCGAGCUUCGUUUGGUGAGAGGAAGCAGAACGAUAAACGUGAAAAUCCCUUUCGAGCGAUGUACCGAAGACAAAGUAACGUGCAUUGGUGACACCCAUUAUCGUGUUAGCGUAUCGCUUUUUUAGCCGUACGUGAAAGGCAGCUUUAGUGAUAGAGCUGCAAACAUAAGGUGGUACCGUGCCAUAAGCACCCUUAAU